Molecule: non-coding RNA, 30 nt
Filed under: Rattus norvegicus (Norway rat)
Lineage: Eukaryota; Metazoa; Chordata; Mammalia; Rodentia; Muridae
Source: RNAcentral
UGUCAAUUUUGUCAGUCUCUGGAUGCUUGC